UUGCUCCUACGGGACGCAGCAGUGGGGAAUAUUGCACAAUGGGGGAAACCCUGAUGCAGCGACGCCGCGUGAGUGAAGAAGUAUUUCGGUAUGUAAAGCUCUAUCAGCAGGGAAGAAAAUGACGGUACCUGACUAAGAAGCCCCGGCUAACUACGUGCCAGCAGCCGCGGUAAUACGUAGGGGGCAAGCGUUAUCCGGAUUUACUGGGUGUAAAGGGUGCGUAGGUGGCAGGGCAAGUCGGAUGUGAA
This 248-nucleotide ribosomal RNA is filed under the name uncultured bacterium. RNAcentral describes it as "partial 16S ribosomal RNA". It matches the Rfam family "Bacterial small subunit ribosomal RNA", at positions 333 to 598 of the family's 1533-position model. The record is from RNAcentral.